RNAcentral lists this ribosomal RNA (429 nucleotides) under Bacteroidota bacterium. RNAcentral's name for it is "Bacteroidetes bacterium partial 16S ribosomal RNA". It matches the Rfam family "Bacterial small subunit ribosomal RNA", at positions 355 to 776 of the family's 1533-position model. Lineage: Bacteria; Pseudomonadati; Bacteroidota. The record is from RNAcentral.
UAGGGAAUCUUCCGCAAUGGACGCAAGUCUGACGGAGCAACGCCGCGUGAGUGAAGAAGGAUUUCGGUUCGUAAAACUCUGUUGUUAGAGAAGAACAGCGCAUAGAGUAACUGUUAUGCGUGUGACGGUAUCUAACCAGAAAGCCACGGCUAACUACGUGCCAGCAGCCGCGGUAAUACGUAGGUGGCAAGCGUUGCCCGGAUUUAUUGGGCGUAAAGCGAGCGCAGGCGGUCAAUUAAGUCUGAUGUGAAAGCCCCCGGCUCAACCGGGGAGGGUCAUUGGAAACUGGUUGACUUGAGUGCAGAAGAGGAGAGUGGAAUUCCAUGUGUAGCGGUGAAAUGCGUAGAUAUAUGGAGGAACACCAGUGGCGAAGGCGACUCUCUGGUCUGUAACUGACGCUGAGGUUCGAAAGCGUGGGUAGCAAACAGG